GACGAACGCUGGCGGCGUGCCUAAUACAUGCAAGUAGAACGCUGAAGAGAGGAGCUUGCUCUUCUUGGAUGAGUUGCGAACGGGUGAGUAACGCGUAGGUAACCUGCCUUGUAGCGGGGGAUAACUAUUGGAAACGAUAGCUAAUACCGCAUAACAAUGGAUGACACAUGUCAUUUAUUUGAAAGGGGCAAUUGCUCCACUACAAGAUGGACCUGCGUUGUAUUAGCUAGUAGGUGAGGUAAUGGCUCACCUAGGCGACGAUACAUAGCCGACCUGAGAGGGUGAUCGGCCACACUGGGACUGAGACACGGCCCAGACUCCUACGGGAGGCAGCAGUAGGGAAUCUUCGGCAAUGGGGGCAACCCUGACCGAGCAACGCCGCGUGAGGGAAGAAGGGUGUCGGAUCGUAAAGCUCUGUUGUAAGUCAAGAACGGGUGUGAGAGUGGAAAGUUCACACUGUGACGGUAGCUUACCAGAAAGGGACGGCUAACUACGUG
RNAcentral lists this ribosomal RNA (497 nucleotides) under uncultured bacterium. RNAcentral describes it as "partial 16S ribosomal RNA". It matches the Rfam family "Bacterial small subunit ribosomal RNA", at positions 28 to 507 of the family's 1533-position model. The record is from RNAcentral.